Molecule: long non-coding RNA, 1307 nt
Organism: Drosophila mojavensis
Lineage: Eukaryota; Metazoa; Arthropoda; Insecta; Diptera; Drosophilidae
Exons: 4
Source: RefSeq, a predicted model, not a curated record
GUAUUUAAAGCAAAAAAAUAAAAAAAUAAAAAACAUUUUUCGAUUAAGUCCCAAAUUGUACGUAAUGAUCUGCGCGAUACUACCACCACGACUUUGUCGUACUUAUACCAUCACUAGUUGUGAAUUUAUACCAUCGCUAAUUCUUCUUGCGCAGCAAUGGCAAAUGCUGCCAUGAUUAUACCGUGCCUUCCAAAUAUUUAAAAAUGAUUCCAGUUAAUCAAAAAUAUAAUUCUGAUGAUGAUUUGGAUGUGGACCAAAUUGUAACAUUAUUAAAUAACAUUUAAAAAUAAAAUUUAAACUAUUUUCAGCUAUUUUUUAGAGACGAUUUUGCUAUUUUUAUGUCUCAAAACCUGGCAACACUGUUUGGAAGACUGUUUUAACAGAAAUCGUCUUUAUGAGUCUUUUUUGAGUCCCCUUGACGAUUAAAAAACGACUAAUCUCCUGGGCGAUUGAAAGAAGACUCAUAAAUGACCCUUCCAUAGUCUCAAAGUAUGAUUGCUUUCAAAUACAAAAACGAAAUGCAAAGCAAUCGCCAAAUAAGCAUGCAGGUGAUUAAAAUAUUAUCAUUGCUUGGUUUUGCUUUGUUACUAUGCACUCAUAUUCUGCUCGCUUGGCUGAUCGAAAAGCGAUUCUUAUCUAAGCUUAUAUCUAAGUUAAACGGUACUUUUUCUUAAGCACAAGCCGAAAUGUGCAAAUUUUGUCAUUCGAGCGUGAAAGUGCAAAUGAAGUGCAAGUGCGAAGUGCAUACAAAUAAAUUAUAUCAAUUAUAUCAAAUACAAAUAAAAAGGAACAUCUAAUAUCGAGAGUUGGAGGAGAUGGGCCCACACAAUUUGUUAGAGCUGCGAUCAGAAAAGUUUUUUCGGACAAGGUAGCUUCCGAAACCAGGUGGAAGGGGACAAAAAUUAAACCAUCAGCAGAAAGGUGUUACAUUAUAGCCGUAAUAAAAAAUAUUGCUAAUGAAAAAUUUACAUGCACUGAUAAGGAUUUAAAUACGGUGCUAAAAAAGCAUUUUGUCCGUGCCAAUGACAGGCUGGAAAAAAAUUCUUUUCAUUGCAAAUUAUUGAAAAUUUCAAUCGAAUAUGAGUCAAAAAAUGAUUAAAUUAUGACUCGUGGAAGACUCUUUUAUGAUUAAAAGAUGACUCGUGGAAGACUCUUUUAUGAUUAAAAACAAGAGUCAUAAGCGACUCAUCAAGAAGAGUCGCGGGUAGGGUACCAUUUUCUCCCGACAGAACAGUCUUUUAUGAUCAGAAAAUGAGCGCACAUAUGACUGUUUUCAAUCAUCGCGCGAGUCUUUUAAGACUAACUUA